Molecule: ribosomal RNA, 588 nt
Filed under: Trichoderma asperellum
Lineage: Eukaryota; Fungi; Ascomycota; Sordariomycetes; Hypocreales; Hypocreaceae
Description: eukaryotic LSU rRNA
Rfam family: 5.8S ribosomal RNA (bases 200-353)
Source: RNAcentral
UGCGGAGGGAUCAUUACCGAGUUUACAACUCCCAAACCCAAUUGUGACGUUACCAAACUGUUGCCUCGGCGGGGUCACGCCCCGGGUGCGUCGCAGCCCCGGAACCAGGCGCCCGCCGGAGGAACCAACCAAACUCUUUCUGUAGUCCCCUCGCGGACGUAUUUCUUACAGCUCUGAGCAAAAAUUCAAAAUGAAUCAAAACUUUCAACAACGGAUCUCUUGGUUCUGGCAUCGAUGAAGAACGCAGCGAAAUGCGAUAAGUAAUGUGAAUUGCAGAAUUCAGUGAAUCAUCGAAUCUUUGAACGCACAUUGCGCCCGCCAGUAUUCUGGCGGGCAUGCCUGUCCGAGCGUCAUUUCAACCCUCGAACCCCUCCGGGGGAUCGGCGUUGGGGAUCGGGACCCCUCACACGGGUGCCGGCCCCUAAAUACAGUGGCGGUCUCGCCGCAGCCUCUCCUGCGCAGUAGUUUGCACAACUCGCACCGGGAGCGCGGCGCGUCCACGUCCGUAAAACACCCAACUUUCUGAAAUGUUGACCUCGGAUCAGGUAGGAAUACCCGCUGAACUUAAGCAUAUCAAUAAGCGGAGGA